GGUAGGGCAGCUGAGGUAGGCGGUGGAUUGUAGCCCCACACACGGAGGUUUAAGCCCUCCCUCUAUCA
This 68-nucleotide transfer RNA is filed under the name Regalecus glesne (king of herrings). Its description in RNAcentral is "tRNA-Tyr". It matches the Rfam family "tRNA". From Rfam's summary of the family: Transfer RNA (tRNA) molecules are approximately 80 nucleotides in length. Their secondary structure includes four short double-helical elements and three loops (D, anti-codon, and T loops). Lineage: Eukaryota; Metazoa; Chordata; Actinopteri; Lampriformes; Regalecidae. The record is from RNAcentral.